RNAcentral lists this ribosomal RNA (553 nucleotides) under uncultured bacterium. RNAcentral's name for it is "partial 16S ribosomal RNA". It matches the Rfam family "Bacterial small subunit ribosomal RNA", at positions 355 to 900 of the family's 1533-position model. The record is from RNAcentral.
UAGGGAAUCUUCCACAAUGGACGCAAGUCUGAUGGAGCAACGCCGCGUGAGUGAAGAAGGUUUUCGGACCGUAAAGCUCUGUUGUUGGUGAAGAAGGAUAGAGGUAGUAACUGGCCUUUAUUUGACGGUAAUCAACCAGAAAGUCACGGCUAACUACGUGCCAGCAGCCGCGGUAAUCGUAGGUGGCAAGCGUUGUCCGGAUUUAUUGGGCGUAAAGCGAGCGCAGGCGGAAGAAUAAGUCUGAUGUGAAAGCCCUCGGCUUAACCGAGGAAUUGCAUCGGAAACUGUUUUCUUGAGUGCAGAAGAGGAGAGUAGAACUCCAUGUGUAGCGGUGGAAUGCGUAGAUACAUGGAAGAAUACCAGUGGCGAAGGCGGCUCUCUGGUCUGCAACUGACGCUGAGGCUCGAAAGCAUGGGUAGCGAACAGGAUUAGAUACCCUGGUAGUCCAUGCCGUAAACGAUGAGUGCUAAGUGUUGGGAGGCUUCCGCCUCUCAGUGCUGCAGCUAACGCAUUAAGCGCUCCGCCUGGGGGAGUACGACCGCAAGGUUGAAAC